ACAACAUAAGGAAAUUGAACAGGAGCAUCAUUAAGAAUGGUGGAAGCCAUGUUGUCCAUGUGGUUCUUUUUGCACUGUUUUGUUUCUUUGUUGUCUACAUGUGGUCCAAAUUAUCCAGAAGAUGAGGUAUUACUGUUGGCCACUGAAAAAAUGUCCAGAUCAAUGGGCAUUCCAUGGGUAGAUUCGGAUUUGGGAGUUGAAAUGGAGGAUCCAUUUGUAAAAUCUUCACAUUAACUUCUUUAUUUAACAUUAGUUUUUGAUAUAGUUAAAAUCC
Molecule: unclassified non-coding RNA, 274 nt
Filed under: Hevea brasiliensis (rubber tree)
Lineage: Eukaryota; Viridiplantae; Streptophyta; Magnoliopsida; Malpighiales; Euphorbiaceae
Source: RNAcentral